RNAcentral lists this ribosomal RNA (473 nucleotides) under uncultured bacterium. RNAcentral describes it as "bacterial SSU rRNA". It matches the Rfam family "Bacterial small subunit ribosomal RNA", at positions 28 to 507 of the family's 1533-position model. The record is from RNAcentral.
GACGAACGCUGGCGGCGUGCUUAGCACAUGCAAGUCGAACGGGAGUAUUGAAGAAGCUUGCUUUAGAGAUACUUUAGUGGCGGACGGGUGAGUAACGCGUGAGGAGCUGUCCUAUGCAGGGGGACAACAGUUGGAAACGACUGCUAAUACCCCAUAAGCCGAGAGGUAAAAGGAGCGAUCCGGCAGAGGAGGUACUCGCGUCCUAUCAGCUAGUAGGUGAGGUAACGGCUCACCUAGGCGAAGACGGGUAGCCGGCCUGAGAGGGCGAACGGCCACACUGGAACUGAGAUACGGUCCAGACUCCUACGGGAGGCAGCAGUGGGGAAUUUUGCGCAAUGGGGGAAACCCUGACGCAGCGACGCCGCGUGGAGGAUGACGGCCUCGGUUGUAACGUACCUGUCAGAAGGACGGAAAUACCCGCAACGGGACGUGACGGUACCGUUCCAGAGGAAGACCCCGGCGUAACCUACGUG